This 519-nucleotide ribosomal RNA is filed under the name uncultured eukaryote. RNAcentral's name for it is "bacterial SSU rRNA". It matches the Rfam family "Eukaryotic small subunit ribosomal RNA", at positions 1161 to 1702 of the family's 1831-position model. The record is from RNAcentral.
AGGGCACUACCAGGAGUGGAUCCUGCGGCUCAAUUUGACUCAACACGGGAAAGCUCACCUGGUCCGGACACUGGAAGGAUUGACAGAUUAAGAGCUCUUUCUUGAUUCAGUGGGUGGUGGUGCAUGGCCGUUCUUAGUUGGUGGAGCGAUUUGUCUGGUUAAUUCCGAUAACGAACGAGACUCUAGCCUACUAAAUAGGUGUUCCGAUCCCAUCAGUCGGACGCUCUUCUUAGAGGGACAAGCGGCGUUUAGCCGCACGAGACAGAGCAAUAACAGGUCUGUGAUGCCCUUAGAUGUUCGGGGCUGCACGCGCGCUACACUGAAGGAAUCAACAUGCUUCUCAACCUUGUCCGGAAGGACUAGGUAACCCGUUGAAACUCCUUCGUGAUUGGGAUAGGGAAUUGCAAUUACUUCCCUUGAACAAGGAAUUCCCAGUAAGUGCGGGUCAUCAGCUCACGCUGAUUACGUCCCUGCCCUUUGACGCACCGCCCCUCGCUACUACAGAUUGUAGUAACAAGA